GUUAAGAAUCACUUUAGCACAGAAGCAAAAAUUGAAAUGACACAGAGAUAAUUAGCAUGGCCCCUGCACAAGGAUGGCAUUCAAAUUUGUUAAGCAUAUUUCCAUAAUUUU
Small nuclear RNA from Suncus etruscus (white-toothed pygmy shrew), 111 nucleotides. The record is from RefSeq and is a predicted model, not a curated record. NCBI's taxonomy places the organism in Eukaryota, Metazoa, Chordata, Mammalia, Eulipotyphla, Soricidae.